This 483-nucleotide ribosomal RNA is filed under the name uncultured bacterium. Its description in RNAcentral is "bacterial SSU rRNA". It matches the Rfam family "Bacterial small subunit ribosomal RNA", at positions 33 to 507 of the family's 1533-position model. The record is from RNAcentral.
CGAGGACGACGCUGGCGGCGUGCCUAACACAUGCAAGUCGAGCGGAGUUAUCCGAGCGGAAGUUUUCGGAUGGAAGCAUGGAUAACUUAGUGGCGGACGGGUGAGUAACGCGUGGGUAACCUGCCGUAUACAGGGGGAUAACACUUAGAAAUAGGUGCUAAUACCGCAUAAGCGCACAGCUUCGCAUGAAGCAGUGUGAAAAGCCUUAACGGUAUACGAUGGACCCGCGUCUGAUUAGCUAGUUGGUGGGGUAGAGGCCUACCAAGGCGACGAUCAGUAGCCGGCCUGAGAGGGUGACCGGCCACAUUGGGACUGAGACACGGCCCAAACUCCUACGGGAGGCAGCAGUGGGGAAUAUUGCACAAUGGGGGAAACCCUGAUGCAGCGACGCCGCGUGAGUGAAGAAGUAUUUCGGUAUGUAAAGCUCUAUCAGCAGGGAAGAAAAUGACGGUACCUGACUAAGAAGCCCCGGCUAACUACGUG